UAAGGAAUAUUGGUCAAUGGACGCAAGUCUGAACCAGCCAUGCCGCGUGAAGGAUUAAGGUCCUCUGGAUUGUAAACUUCUUUUAUCUGGGACGAAAAAAGGCGAUUCUUCGUCACUUGACGGUACCAGAUGAAUAAGCACCGGCUAACCCCGUGCCAGCAGCCGCGGUAAUACGGAGGGUGCAAGCGUUAUCCGGAUUCACUGGGUUUAAAGGGUGCGUAGGCGGGCAGGUAAGUCAGUGGUGAAAUCCUGGAGCUUAACUCCAGAACUGCCAUUGAUACUAUCUGUCUUGAAUAUUGUGGAGGUAAGCGGAAUAUGUCAUGUAGCGGUGAAAUGCUUAGAUAUGACAUAGAACACCUAUUGCGAAGGCAGCUUACUACGCAUAUAUUGACGCUGAGGCACGAAAGCGUGGGGAUCAAACAGGAUUAGAUACCCUGGUAGUCCACGCCCUAAACGAUGGAUACUCGACAUACGCGAUACACUGUGUGUGUCUGAGCGAAAGCAUUAAGUAUCCCCACCUGGGAAGUACACCGCAAGGUUGAAACUUAAAUGAAUUGACGGGGUCAUAGCUGUUUCCUG
RNAcentral lists this ribosomal RNA (579 nucleotides) under uncultured bacterium. RNAcentral describes it as "partial 16S ribosomal RNA". It matches the Rfam family "Bacterial small subunit ribosomal RNA", at positions 355 to 1376 of the family's 1533-position model. The record is from RNAcentral.